UCCUGUAUGAGCUGGGUAUUCUGUAUAAGCUGUGAUAUCCCUUAUAAACUAGGGUAUCCUGUAUGAACUGGGGUAUCCUGUAUGAGCUGGGUAUCCUUUAUGAACUGGGGUAUCCUGUAUGAGCUGGGGUAUCCUGUAUGAGCUGGGUAUCCUUUAUGAACUGGGGUAUCCUGUAUGAGCUGGGGUAUCCUGCAUGAGCUGGAUAUCGGUUAUGAGCUGAGCUAUUUUGUAUGAACUGGGGUAUCCUGUAUGAGCUGGGGUAUCCUUUAUGAACUGGGGUAUCCUGUAUGAGCUAGGGUAUGCUGCAUGGGCCUGGUAUCCUGUAUGAGCUGGGGUACGCUGUGAGACCUGGGUACCCUGUAAGAUCUGGGGUGCCCUCUGCAAGCUAGGGUAACAAAUGGACCCGUGUGUGUUCUGAGGACUGUAGAGGUUUAUCCCUCUCAGGUAAAAAUCCACAGGAAUAUUCCAGCCCCACAAGUGGCUCUGCUCCAACGAAGUCAUUCAAGAAGCAGGCUCUGUCCAAGUUGUGAGAUCCUUUUUCUGUCUUUCCCUAUGGCAAUGUCUAUCUCUGCAUGGCCAGAAGUUUUCAUCAAGAAAGCAGGGAGAGGGUGUGGAUGAGACACAUCCAUAGGUUAAGAGCUAGGUGUGGCGGUGCAUCGGGCUUCCUCUCCCGUUCCACUGAGGAGUGCGUAGUCACCGACCACUCCCAGCUGUGGAAAGCAGGCACCGCAGUCCAGAUUUGUGAUUGGGAAGAAGGCAGGGCAGAUCUGAUGGAUCUCUAGCAGUUUCCCCUCAGUAACCAUCUCUCUAGUGCCUAAGAAAUGGUGCCUGAUGGUUCAUUCAUUGUAGCAUUAUUUUUAAUACUAGAUUUAUUUUAAAUUCAGACUGUGUUAUAUGUUAUAAUACCUUUAUUUUAUACUGGAAGCAAGCGUCAAUGUAGGAGAGUCUUGAAACCCAGCACCAGAUAGUGGUUGCUAAUCCCAGUCUUCCAUACAAGGAUCCCGGGUUCUGUGAAGAAAUGCUUAAUUCUGGGACUGGGAGGGGAGUAAACAAGAUGAGCCUGGAGCAGAAAGCAAGGAAGUGUCCAAACCAAGCCAAACCAAAACACCCAGGAUGCCGCCAUAAUGGGGACAUUUUAAAGGGACAUAGGAGGCAAUGGAAAGAACCCCCAGUGGCUAAAGCUAGAGCAAUUUGAGCAACAAAGUAAGAUAGCAUUGGAAAAUAACUCAAAGUAUAGAGCCAGCCUAUUCUGAUAGAAAUGACUGAGGAAAUAAAUAAUUGGAGGGAGAGUGACAAGUUUUCUGUGCAGACUUCCAAAUAACUUAUGUAGAUCCCCUGCCCUUGAAGAGGGGAAGCACAGCUCCCCACUUUGGCCACGUGGGCUGCUCAUAAUGACUUCUUCCAAAAGGUAUGGAAAGGGGUAAGGCAGUUUUACAGUGGAGAAACCUGGCAGACACUGCUUCAGCCAGGUCAUCACGUUUAACCAUGCUCGGUUACGUUGACCCGAUGCACCCUUGAUGGGAUGGGAUGAAAGCGCUCGACCUCCAUCACAGGUGCAGUCUCCACUCAACCCACUAUGAGAAAAACAUCAAACUCCAAUUCUUCAGUGUUCCUGCCGGUCCUCCUCAGAACAGCCAAGGUCAAGGUCAUUCAACACAGGAAAGUCUGAGAAUCCAUCACCACCAAGAGGAGUCUAAGGAGAACUGAGGAUUGAGGGCCAUGGGGUGUCCCGGCUGGGGUCCGGGGUAGAGACGGAUUUUAGACGAUCUGCUGUGCAGAUCAUGAACCGUCGCCGCAGUGCCAGACAGACUCUUCAUCCGGACCGGCCGUCCCACUGGGUCCCCUCAGGAAAGCGCAGAAGCCGGGGACCCCAAACCGCGUCCAGCUCCUCCCACCCGCCCUUCUCGGAGCCGCGCACUUGGUAACUUGCGUGUGAAGAACUCACGGCCGUGUUGCCAGGAAACUGCGGGGAGCAGCCUUUGUGGUCUCACAUAUGCGUAACAUAAUAAUAAAUAACGGUUAACGUGA
Molecule: long non-coding RNA, 2028 nt
Filed under: Homo sapiens (human)
Lineage: Eukaryota; Metazoa; Chordata; Mammalia; Primates; Hominidae
Description: HSALNT0395150
Source: RNAcentral